UGGGGAAUAUUGCACAAUGGGCGCAAGCCUGAUGCAGCGACGCCGCGUGAGUGAAGAAGUAUUUCGGUAUGUAAAGCUCUAUCGGCAGGGAAGAAAGGCCCGAAAGGGAGAUGACGGUACCUGACUAAGAAGCCCCGGCUAACUACGUGCCAGCAGCCGCGGUAAUACGUAGGGGGCAAGCGUUAUCCGGAUUUACUGGGUGUAAAGGGAGCGUAGACGGAUGAUCAAGUCUGAUGUGAAAACCCGGGGCUCAACCCCGGGACUGCAUUGGAAACUGGUGAUCUGGAGUAUCGGAGAGGUAAGCGGAAUUCCUAGUGUAGCGGUGAAAUGCGUAGAUAUUAGGAGGAACACCGGUGGCGAAGGCGGCUUACUGGACGACAACUGACGUUGAGGCUCGAAAGCGUGGGGAGCAAACAGG
This 418-nucleotide ribosomal RNA is filed under the name uncultured prokaryote. RNAcentral describes it as "bacterial SSU rRNA". It matches the Rfam family "Bacterial small subunit ribosomal RNA", at positions 355 to 776 of the family's 1533-position model. RNAcentral also lists the same sequence under 1 other name. The record is from RNAcentral.